Molecule: long non-coding RNA, 219 nt
Organism: Austrofundulus limnaeus
Lineage: Eukaryota; Metazoa; Chordata; Actinopteri; Cyprinodontiformes; Rivulidae
Exons: 2
Source: RefSeq, a predicted model, not a curated record
CGGGCCCGGGCCUCGCCCUCAGGGAGCCGUCCGCGCUCUAAGUCCCGGAGGCCCAGAAAGACCUGGUCGUGCUGCGCACCGGAGAAGCAUCCCGGGCGUCGAACCGCCCCGAGACUCGGCCGACAAAAGGUUGGAUCGAGGGCUGUUUUUCAAUAGAUCGCAGCGACGGAGCUGCUCUGCUACGCAUGAAACCCUGACCCAGAAUCAGGUCAUCUGCAA